CCCUUAGAGUUUGAUCCUGGCUCAGGACGAACGCUGGCGGCGUGCCUAACACAUGCAAGUCGAACGAGGUCCAUGGAGUGGCAACACUCCGGAAGACCUAGUGGCGAACGGGUGAGUAACACGUGAGGAACUUGCCCCGGAGACCGGGAUAACCCACCGAAAGGUGAGCUAAUACCGGAUGUCCUCACCGAGUCGCAUGGCUUGGUGAGGAAAUGGAUUCCGCUCCGGGAGAGCCUCGCGGCCUAUCAGCUUGUUGGUGGGGUAACGGCCCACCAAGGCAUCGACGGGUAGCUGGUCUGAGAGGACGAUCAGCCACACUGGGACUGAGACACGGCCCAGACUCCUACGGGAGGCAGCAGUGGGGAAUCUUGCGCAAUGGGCGAAAGCCUGACGCAGCAACGCCGCGUGCGGGAUGAAGGCCCUCGGGUUGUAAACCGCUUUCAGUGGGGACGAACCAAGACGGUACCCACAGAAGAAGGUCCGGCCAACUACGUGCCAGCAGCCGCGGUAACACGUAGGGACCAAGCGUUGUCCGGAUUCAUUGGGCGUAAAGAGCUCGUAGGCGGUUCGAUAAGUCGGGUGUGAAACCUCCAGGCUCAACCUGGAGACGCCACCCGAUACUGUCGUGACUAGAGUCCAGUAGGGGAGCGUGGAAUUCCUGGUGUAGCGGUGAAAUGCGCAGAUAUCAGAGGAACACCAGCGGCGAAGGCGGCGCUCUGGGCUGGACUGACGCUGAGAGCGAAAGCGUGGGGAGCGACAGAUAGAUACCUGGUAGUCACGCCGUAACGUGGGUACUAGUGUGGGUCUAU
Molecule: ribosomal RNA, 809 nt
Filed under: uncultured bacterium
Lineage: Bacteria
Description: bacterial SSU rRNA
Rfam family: Bacterial small subunit ribosomal RNA
Source: RNAcentral